UCGGAGGAUAUCGAGUAGUUUAAGCACCCACAAAAUGGAAAAAACACAAAAACAUUUUCAAUACAUAUACCUGACCAAGGUAUCAUAUUCAAUAUAUAAAGAAAUCGCGCAGGUCAAUAUUUAAAGAGAUUAGAAGGAGAAUUUAAAAAUGGGGGAAAGAUUUGAAGACGCUUCACAACAGAGUUCCAAUGACCCUAAGUCUAUGACGAGGUACUCAAAUUCAUUCAUCAGGGAAGCGCAAAUGCUCUUCCUAGGCGACAAACAGGAUGACACGCUGACUACAACGGCUUGCGUCUAGAAAAGCACAGAAAUGCCAGGUGUGCGUACGUUAGAGAAGCGAGCGACGCCGCCGCCGCCGAGGAGCGGUCCCCAGCCGUCCCCAGCGCCCCGCUCCCCGGCGCGGUCCCGCACACCCCGGAAACGCCCACAGCGGCCGCAGCCCGAGCCUCAAACCAGCGAGGGCGCCCGUCCCGCCACAGCCACGCACGCGCCGCCCCAGGACGGCUCCGUCCUCCAGGUGACGGCUCGGCAGCGGGAUCCUCCACUCCCCACACCCAGGGCCGCGGCAAGAGGCGACCGUCCGGCCGACCGUCUCUACCUGCCCCCAGGCUGCGGCCGACGAGCACGAGCAGGUAUUUUGCAAGCUGAUUGUUAACUACAACUGUUAUUUCAAGCUGUGCUCGUAAAGUUACUGAAAUGUACAGCAGUGUGCCACUCCUUCAAUGACCUCACUUUGGAAGCUGGCAUCAGUCCUGGUGGAAGAAUUUGCACCUUGGAAAUCAGAAAACGACACAAAUCAGGGCCGGUUUCCCUCCCUCUUGUAGAGCAGUUAUUAGCUGGAGCAAACCAUGAGAGCUGCCAAAGUUUUGGAAAGCACCUAAAUGAAGAUUUUCCAUUUGGGGAGCUAACGUCAACCAACCAGCUGAUCAAAGGAAACAAGCAGCAAGGUCAUCCUCCAGAGGGAAGAAUGUGGUAUUUGAGGUCCUGAGAGAGAAAAGAACGACAAGGCUAAAAAGGCAUGGUUACUGCACAGAAAUGCCUCAUCCACAAAGUGCAAAGGCACCCGGCAGCUAGCUGUCAUCGUCGUCGUCACCUGAAAAACCAGGACUGAGCAUGGAUUGUGCUGACAUCGGCAUAUUAGGUUAUGUAUCCAUGAAAUCGUCACAAAUUUCAAGGACAUUCAUGGCAAACUUCUCAGGGGAUCAAAGAUGAAAAGGAUGCUCAGAAUGGAAGAGAGGAGUUUGAAUUUGCCAAGAUAUUGCAUGGCUGUAGCAUCCAAGGAUUGAAACCGGUGAGAACCAUCCAGAGGAGAUGAAGGGAUGCAGACCUGGAGUGCCCGGUGGGGUGGGGGCGGUGAUUACUGGCAAUCAGGGAAAUCUAAGCCCACAGAAAAAAACAGCCCCUCCUCCACCUGCCUGUCAACCCUUGCUGUCAGCUUCUGAUUUGGGCAAGAUUCUGUCUGAGGUGAGUCCCACGGCUUUCAUCCACCCGCUAACUCUCACUGAAGUGUGAAUAAAGGAUCAAGGCUGCUGGCUCAGGAAAGGGGAACAGGGACGUGAGGAAUUCAUGUGCAGGAAGAAUUGGGCCUUAUUCACCCAGUGCACUGUCAGCUCGGUGUCGUGUGAGUCCCCAGCUCCUUACCCUAUGCCACAAGAAGGCGGGACCCACUAAAUCCCAAGACAACACACCUGUACACACCUGUAUCCCCCCCAUACACCCACACACACACACACACACACAAUCUGAUCUCUGUCUCAGAGGAGGCACACAUUCUCAGCUAGGUGUACAUCGAGGGGCAGAGAGCGAAACAGCAAUGGGGACAACCGCCUGGGCUGACGACAUGGGAGGAAAACAAGGAGGAGACAGGACACACCAAGGCCCGAUGGGGAUGAAUCAGGACCGGGCAGGUUCUUGGACUCACCCUGGACGGGGUUCUGCGGAGAAUACCUGCUGGCAUGAACACAUCCCUGCCCCGCUGAAACUGACCCAUCAGCGGGGGCGGAGAGGAGAAAGCAAGCCCUCCUCUGGCCCAAAACCAAGGUGCAGAAACUGAGGAGACAUCGUUGGCUUGCAGAGCCAGCUCUAGAAGUGCUCAGGAGAAGGGUUGCUGACCUUACACAUUUCAUGAUAGCUGUUUGAUUAUUUUGCCUACAGAAAAAGAAGGAAAUGAUGAGGAGAGUAUACUUAAGAAGUAUGCCUUUCUCACCUGCCCCUCAGAUCCGAUCUCUGAGCACCACCAGGGGGGUAAGCGUCUCCAGCCGCUCCUCCCACACACAUGCAACUGUUCAUUACACAGCCGAGACCUAUUUUGCCACUGGGUCCUUUUAUUCGACAACACAUCUUGGCUAUCGAAACACAUUGGCAUGUAGACUCUGUUUAGACUUCUCACCGCUUCAUUAACUCCAUUGACUAGUACUUUUUACAUUGAUCAAUCUCGUCUUAGGUGAAUAGACAUCCAGAUUGUUUUUUUUUUUAAUUUUCUAGUCUUAUCUAAACUAUGCUAUAUGGUAUACCCCUUGUACAUGUAUUUUUGCGCACUUGUUAGGAGUUUCGGGGGCAAGCGGGCCACUGGAGAGAAUUGCCCCGGUUUGCUCUGGAUGUAGCCACAGCAGCCCAGGUGCUGUCAGAAGAGGCCACAGGGGCCCGGGGCUCCCCAGGGGGACCUGGGAGGGGCAGAGCCAUUGCUGGCGGGGAAGGGAAUGGAUCACAUUUUGAGUCUCCCCUUGCCACCAGACCUGGGGAGGGAGAUUAACUGGGGGGACCUUGGGAAAUUCACCCAGGGGAACGCAGACCUCAUCCAGGCCCCCUCAGGGCUGCCACACGUGGGACAAGCCCACUGAGGGUAAAUUAAGUCAACAAUGCCCAGGAAGGAGGGGUCAGUGGGGUCUCUCUCUCUCUCUCUCUCUCUCUUGCCUACUCCAAUGGCUUUGGAAAACACCUACUUAGCCCCUGAGAGCCCAGGCCACCCGCUUGAGAACUGGGCCUGGGAGGAAGAAGUGGCAGCAGGAGGGGUACAAUCCAGGUUCACAGUCGCAGCCAUUCGUCCCGGUACAAGAACCAAGGCCCCCCUGUCAGCUAUAACAUCACAGGCAUGAGGCGGGCACCUCUGCCAAGUGUCGCUUAGGGAGCUAGAGAGGCUUAUCUAGGUAGCUUGAAAUGCUGACAAAAAUACCUUCCUUACCUUUCACGCUCCAGAGCUGUGGCAUGCCUAAACAUCCUGCUAAUGUUCCUCUUUUACGGUCUUUUUAACCCGAUUUUCGAGUGAGCAUCAUAUAAUCACUCUACCGGGGAAGUGAGUUUGAUAAUCUCCAUGGCAUAACCAUCAACGGCGAGCUAGAGACUUCGGUCGGAGCACCCUGCAUCCUCGCACAUGCGCUCGACCCGGAGCUGACAGCAAGUGCCCUGGACCCAAGUGUCGCCAUCGGGCGGCCGAACCAAGGGACUACUCGCCCAUCGUCGUUGGGGACACCGUAGGUUUUGGGAGAAACUGCACUCUGCAGGACACAGAAGCAUUACUCCAUCACUCAAGUCUUGCUCAUCCUUCUGGAAAGGUUUCUUUGACCAUAAAACAUCAAGACAAGAGCACAAACAACACGUGUGCCUGAGAGCCCACGUUGCUGUCUGCUUUAACCUGAUGUGUGGCGCAGCCAGUGUCCUCACUGUCGUUGUUUGUGUAUCUGUGUGUGUGUCUUGUCUCCGGCAGCAUCAGCUGUCCAAGGGCAGGGGCCCCUGUAAUUCUCUCCCAGGCGCUGCUGAGGGUACCCUGGGCUGCGUCGGGAGGUUGGUUGUAGACAAUGGCUCACCGGUUACAGGAGGCACAGACGCCUCCCAAUGCCUGGCUUGCUCACCUCAUCAAGAAAUCUUCGUGAGAGAUGCCUUGGGGGUGCUCAGUGGGUGAGUGUCUGCCCUCAGCUCAGAGCGUGACUCCAGGGUCCUGGGAUCCAGUCCUACAUCAGGCUCCCUGCAGGGAGCCUGCUUCUCCCUCUGCCUGUGUCUCUGCCUUUCUGUGCCUCUCAUGAAUCAAUAAAGAAAAUCUUUUAAAUAAAUAAAAAAGAGAAAUCUUCAAGUGAGGCAAAAUGC
Canis lupus familiaris (dog) is the source of this 4080-nucleotide RNA transcript. It is a transcript of the gene named vegetative cell wall protein gp1-like, with no coding region annotated. NCBI's taxonomy places the organism in Eukaryota, Metazoa, Chordata, Mammalia, Carnivora, Canidae. The transcript has 5 exons. The record is from RefSeq and is a predicted model, not a curated record.